This 425-nucleotide ribosomal RNA is filed under the name uncultured bacterium. RNAcentral describes it as "partial 16S ribosomal RNA". It matches the Rfam family "Bacterial small subunit ribosomal RNA", at positions 354 to 796 of the family's 1533-position model. The record is from RNAcentral.
GUGGGGAAUCUUGCGCAAUGGGCGAAAGCCUGACGCAGCCAUGCCGCGUGAAUGAUGAAGGUCUUAGGAUUGUAAAAUUCUUUCACCGGGGACGAUAAUGACGGUACCCGGAGAAGAAGCCCCGGCUAACUUCGUGCCAGCAGCCGCGGUAAUACGAAGGGGGCUAGCGUUGCUCGGAAUUACUGGGCGUAAAGGGCGCGUAGGCGGACAGUUUAGUCAGAGGUGAAAGCCAAGGGCUCAACCUUGGAAUUGCCUUUGAUACUGGCUGUCUUGAGUACGGGAGAGGUGAGUGGAACUCCGAGUGUAGAGGUGAAAUUCGUAGAUAUUCGGAAGAACACCAGUGGCGAAGGCGACUCACUGGCCCGUUACUGACGCUGAGGCGCGAAAGCGUGGGGAGCAAACAGGAUUAGAAACCCGGGUAGUCC